CUCAAGAAAUGCUUGUCAGCUGAAUCUGCAGAGCCACGGAAAUCAUGGCUUUGUAAGUCCCUCUGGGCCCACAUCUGCAUGUCCUUGAAACCCCAGAGAGGCCCUUCAUACCUUCUUGGGUUCAGGCACGACUUGGGUUUCUACACCACCUCCAGGCAGAUGUCCCCUUCCUCUUACAGAGGAAGUGGUGUGGCAGAUGAGAGGAGAGGCAUAGCGAUGUCAAUCAACUUGUCGAAGGUCACCCGCAUACAGCUGAGUAUGGUAUUGGAGAUUUGAACCCAGACUCCUCUGUAACUAUUGUGUGUCCCGCCAGGAAGCCUGCCAGCGUCUCACCCGCAUAAAGAAACCGGUGGAAGAUGAGCUGCAUACACCUAUUUGCCAUGAACGUUUGCAUUCUCGGGGAAGAGGACCUGGGUCCUUCCACGACCCAUCCCUAACAGGCUCUCCCUGCAGUUUGGGGGAAGUUGACUGAUGAGAACUGUGUAGGAUUCGCCAACACCAGGGGCAGCCCGGAAAGCCAGGACUGGACAGCAGUAACAGAGGCGGAGGGGAGGGAAGGUGGGCUUGCCGACCAAGGACCCCCGGGCCCAUGGCCCACCUCACUAUCUCUGCCAAUACAAACAGAAAUCUAUUUUUAUUUAUUAGGGAUUUUGUUUUGUUUUGUUUUGUUUUGUUUUGCUUUGGGGUAGUCACUGGUCUACUCAAGAAAUUUAAUUGGGACUCUAAUGAGUAGGUAUUAUUUUUAUAAGCCAAAAUCCUAUAUAUUUUAUAAAGUUGGAUACUCCCCCUAAUAAAACAAAUAAUUGUAUUUGGGAGCAAAGAUUUAUAGUUACAAAAAAAAUGGUCUCCCUUGAAUGUCUGAAACUUUCACCGCAGAGCGGCCUUUCCGAACGGGAGGAAGGGUCCUUUAGUUUCGCAGUAGAGGGUCUCCUCCGAGCACCAUGAGGAGAAGAGGCUCGGGGUGGGGCAGCCUCUCUCAGGAGAGGCCUCUUCAGCGUCCCUUGUGGCUGUACCUCAGCUUCCCACUCUGUGAAAUAAGACUCUUGUUUGUUCCACCCGUGGGGGUGAGGUGAUGGGAGGAGAAGGGAGCAGCAUUGUGGGCUCCAGCCAUCGAAGAGGCAGGGGAAGCACCAAGAAUAUUAGCAGCCAUGGAGGAUGCUUCCCCCGGCACGUCCACACCCGGGGAAUACCCUCCUGCCACUGGCCCUGAGGGUCUCCUCAUCCCCUUGGAAGUUACAGGUAAACCGCGUUGUUUCUCUCCUCCCCCCAGUAAUUGGGACUUUACACCUGGGCUUCCUCCUUUAUCUUGUACUCUUAAAAUACACAAACAAAAGAUAAACAACUGCAAAUCCCAAAUAAACACUCCACAUACAGUAUAAAGAAAAAGGGAGGGGCUGAGGGGUCGAGGCCCUCAGGAGCCCGUCCUAUGAGCUGACAGGAAGAGGGAGGGGCUGAGAGGAGAUCUUGGUGAGAAUUGGGAGCAAGAAGAAAGGCUCAGAAGGAGUCAGAUCUGCCUGGAGCAGGGUCCUCUCUGAGCGCUGGUGGAGACUGUGGUACCUGGAGGUUAUACACUCACAGAAAGGCCUCUCAGAGGCCUCUGGGCUGGGACCGCUCACUGGGGUGGCCCAUUCCUGAAGCGCUGUGGUCCAGGACCGAGAAAGGAGUGUCUACGGCCUUCUGCCUGCAGAGUGCCUCCGUGCGUCUCCCCUCCCUCCUGGGCUCGCUGUGAGGCAGGAAAGUUUGUCCUUGAUUAGUAAUGAUCAACCUUAACAUUCACUAGGUUAAGUAUUUGACUUUGCAUCCUGUAAUGCCAAAAGAAGUGCCCCCUUAGUCCUGAGAAAGAAGACAGGUGAAAAAUGAGGCUUUCCCUUUUAGGUCAAAGCAGGGGUUGCUAAUCCCUGGACUCAUCCCAGCAUUGUUUAGGAUUCUGGAAACAUCAGCAGGACUCGGCUCUUAGAGGAGAGGUCAUUUGGGAAAUCAUCACUUGUGGCUUCUCUUGUGGGACACCCACAGGGCCUUGGUUGGACCAGGGAGCCCUGACCGCUCAUGGAGGCAGAAUUGGGAGGGUGGGGGGCCCCAGGGCCGUCCCAGAGGGCAAGACUGUGAGGGCUGAGCUAUCCACUGAGGGGCUAGGCAACUCCUGUACUGUAGUGGACACAUGGCCUUGGGCCAGAGGCUGCACGCAGGAGGCGGGCAAGAGGGACAAGGGGGCACAUGCCUCUGUGCUGGGGGAGGGGCAAACUCAGAAGCCAGACAUGCAAUGGGGACAAGAGAGGGAGGAUCUGGGGGGAGUUGGGGUGGUGGGCACUGGGACAGGACACCGACAUUAACUUUGGGCUGGGAGCUGAGAGCUGAGGCUGAGGGAGGAAGGUCAGAGACCUCACCUGUGGACAACUCACGCUUCUGCCUGGGCACAGUCCUGGCCAGUCUGCCUCAAACUUUGGGACCUGUUUAGGACGACUUCUCUCUCUCAAGCAUCUUGGGCCCCACUCACCGACCCACAGGCUCACAAGAGGGAGGCUGUGGGGCUGCCUCUUGGUGUGCACGUCACUCUGGAGGUGUAAACAUAUCUUGGCCUGUGGGACAUUCAGGUUAUCCUCAGUCCCCAAAUUUAAAACCACAUUGAAAGAAGGCGAAAAAAAAAAAAUUCCUGAGGAAGUAACGGACACAACAGCCAACUUCACUUACUGGCACCACUUGCAGUUACCAAGGAAUGUCAGGGUCUCUCCUUACAAGGAAGGACAAAGAAUGGAAAAGCACGUCCCUGGGGAGACUUGUGCCCAGCAGAAACGACCAGCCUACAGCUACCUUUCUCAGCUUCUAUCUGUCCAUUCUUUUAAAUUCGGGACCCCCAAGCUCCCCACCUGCCCACCACCAACCGCCUUCAGCCCCUCUCCCUCCAACAGUCAAGCUCCCCACCCAACCCCGCUCAGUUAUUCCAACUGCCUGAUCUCCUGGUACCAUUUUGGACCCUAGUGGUCUCAAUGGGUGGAGGAUGCAGGAGGUGAAAAUGAAGGGGGAGGUGAGAGAAAGGGCCUCUUCUCCCCUGCUCUGCCCAGGACUCGACUCAAGGAAUCAAAUAAAGCUUCCACCUUAAACAGAACUGUGACCCUGCAUGUUCACCGUGACAGAGGGAGGGGGAGGGGCCCUCCCUUCCACAGGACCCCGUCUGCCCCAUUCCCUUCUCUGGUGCGUGCUGGCCCACAUGUGGCCAGGGCAGCUCUCGGGGUCUCUCACCUGCCAGGAGGAGAUGGCGGAUGCCAAGGGGAGUUUUAGGAAGAAGAUUUAGGGGAAAGAACAGCUUUUUGAAACUGCUGCCUUGUCUUUACUUUGAAAUGCAUCACACGUGCACCAACGAUGUAAACGAAAAAAAAGGGAAAACAAACAAAUAGCCAAAGGAAAGAAUUUCUACAGGCAAGAUGAGUCGUGGCUCAGCGUGACUGUGCUAGUUCUCU
Molecule: long non-coding RNA, 3455 nt
Organism: Equus caballus (horse)
Lineage: Eukaryota; Metazoa; Chordata; Mammalia; Perissodactyla; Equidae
Source: Ensembl